GUGAAAUUAAACAGCUAAGUCUCACUUUGGUGUAAAAGCCACUUCCAGCCAAUUUUCAAGCCUCUGUUAAAAAGGUCAAAUUGAAAAGCAGACAAAUCAUGUUGUAGCUGUUAAGCACUCCAGGCUCAAUGGAGAAACAGCUAUCAGCUGAUGAUAUAAGUUCCUGCUUCGAAUUUAGAAGAGGUGACUGACACUAUCCAAGAUGGCUGCCAGGUUUUAUCUGAUUUCGGCUCUGUUCAGAAACCACCGGUUUCUCUGGAGUCUUGUAUUUCCCGCCCACCGUGGCCAGCAUUUUACGGUGUUAAUCAGAUUUUGCUGUUUUUCUUCACACUGAGUCCCUUCCCUAUCCAUUCCACCCUCUUGACUCUUAUCCUCCCACCCUCACCUUCAUGGUGCAUGGGCCUAUUAAAUGGUGUCCAGUCCAAUUUCUGGCACCCAAUAAAUCUAAAUUUUCAAGCUUGGGAAGCCAGGCUCACCUACUGGCACCUAGAUAAAUGAGUCCUCCAUGAGAAACCUACACCGGUCAUUACUCAAGACUUCUGAAACCCCACCACUGGAUUUCAGGCCAGAGAAAGUCAAGUCCUCCUUUCAGCCUUCAUUCUCCAAAAAAGAAAAUAACCCACAGCCCAGGGCCUCGCCUUCAUCUACAUCUCCAGUCCCUCCAUCUGGAUGCUCAGACUGAAUCCCAGCCUCCCACUUGCAGCAUCCUGCCGGCUCCUACGUCACCCCGUCAGGUCACCCCAUCAGCUCUGCAGCUUUGAAAUGAGACUUAAUAUCCGGCACACGCGCCUGCGCUGCUCAGCUCGCCGGGGCUCCAAGCCUGAAGAUGAACAAAGAGCCUCCGUGAACUGUUUCAUUGUUUGCAACAAGCACAACCAAGAUGGGCUUCUCUCCCUAGCCCACUCUGCGGUGAAUCCCCCACUUUGUGUGGGAGGACUGUUAAUGACCGAAAUCUACACUCCAUCUAAUAGACAAAGGCUCUGACAUUGUCUCCUGCAGGAGAAGGGGGAUCUUGGGGUCAGGGACGUUUGAACCCAGGUUGGUUUCCUGGAAAAGUGGUGGGAAGGAGGAGCCAAGAGCCGGGGCUGCUGGGGAAGCAACAGGAGCUCAGGGCUGUGUUUCAUUCCAGGAGGCGAGACCUGGAGGUGGUGGGAAGUUGGGGACUAUUUGUAUUUACUUGUUAUUUUGACUUGUGAAAUUACUCCCUUUCAUUCCACCAGCCUUCUGCCUCUGCACAAUAAAAAUUAAUUACAAUGAAUUAGAACCUUUAAAAACCACGCUUAAUAGUAGCUCAGAGACAGCCCCUCCUCUGGCCCCUCACUAGUCUACAGCUCAACAUCUGAUCAAUCUGGCAAGAACAAUUUUAAAAGGAAAAAGUACCUGCUUUUGGCUUCUAUGAAUAAAUCUGGGAACUAAUAGGAUACUGUGAUGGUUAAUGUUAUGUGUCAGCUUGGCUGGGCUAGAGUACCCAGUUAUUUAAUCAAGCACUGAUCCAUGUGUUGACUGGAUGGGUAUUUUGUAAAUACGGUUACCAGCUACAGUUGACUGACUGAGUAGAUUACCCUGAAUAAUGUGGGUGGGCCUUGUCCAAUCAGUUGAAGUUCCUAAGAGAAAGCCCUGAGGUUUCCCAGAGAAGAAAAAAAAAAAAUUCUGCCUCAAGACUGCAUCAACUUCUGCCCAAGUUUCCAGACUAUUGGCCUGCCCUGUAUUCCUUGAAAUAAAUCACACAUAUAUUUGUGUGUGUGUAUAUAUAUAUAUAUAAACAUAUACAUCUGAUCUAUAUCUGUAUCCCUAUAUAUUGCUGAUUCUGCUUCCCUGAAGAACCCUGACUCAUACAGCUAUUUAGAAAGCUUAUACUGAAUUCGAAUUGCUCAUUGUGUAACUUUUGGAAGGAGGACUGCUCUUCUUCAUUUCCUGAACAUGAAGUCUUGUGCUGUGGACAUAGUAGGUGCUUAGUAAAUGUUCAUUGAAGGGACUGGAAACCCAAAGAAGCCCCAUAAUGCUUUUCUCAACUUCUACUGCCCCAUUUUCAAAUGGAAACAUUUGCUCCCUCCCAUCCACUUGGGACUCAUCAGCUCUACUUUGCUGACCAGCUCUUCUCUGGAUGUUCCUAUCACGUUGUCAUUCACUGAAGCCUCCAUCACUCUCUACUUUAACACCUAUCAACUAAACCAUAUCUUCCCCAAAGGCUUCACUGCAGAGGGGCCAGGCUCAUAGCUUACUCUUGCUUCCUUGAAGCUUGUGUGUAGGAUUCUUUAGGCUUAUAUUAAUUGUGCUUUGCUUCACCUGACAUCUUAAAAUGAUGUUGUCUGUUUCUCAUUAGCUGGUGGACCCUCUGGGGGGAUUCUAGGCUCUGAUAUUGUGGAACAUUUAUGAUCUUUGGAAUCAGCCAGACCUAGGGUUUUUUUUUUUUUUUAAUAUUUAUUAAUUUGGCUAUGCUGGGUCUUAGUU
Bos taurus (domestic cattle) is the source of this 2451-nucleotide long non-coding RNA. The record is from Ensembl. NCBI's taxonomy places the organism in Eukaryota, Metazoa, Chordata, Mammalia, Artiodactyla, Bovidae.